Molecule: long non-coding RNA, 3967 nt
Organism: Anguilla anguilla (European eel)
Lineage: Eukaryota; Metazoa; Chordata; Actinopteri; Anguilliformes; Anguillidae
Exons: 3
Source: RefSeq, a predicted model, not a curated record
CAAGGUGAAAAAUCCAGAAAGCCUUUCCUAAACGGCGGAAAUGCACGAAUAAAUAAUAAAUAGGCUAAAUGAAUGAGUAACUAUUAAGAAAAUAGUACGAUUUACUCGGUUCUGUGCUAUUCAUAACGUACCAUGAAGUGAGUUGUGUUAUUGUUUCUUAGCACACAGGCAAGCCUUUACAAAGCAAAUUGCUUUUGUGUGAUUGUUAUAAAUGCCUGUGACCAGGUGGCCGUUCCUUUUCCAUUAAUCACAUGGAGCAUCCAGAAGAUGGAGCUAUGUCAACGCAGAAAGCAAAAUAACCGAACACAUUUAACAUAAAACACUGAACGUAAGAAGUCAAACCAGUUGAUGCGCAAAAUGUAUUUCUGUAAACUCAGUCUUAACUUAUGGUUAAUGGAGCGGGCCGAUUCGUUUCGCGGUGGAUCCGUAAACAUUGGAAAUUCGUGAAAAUCCAUACAAAUUUUGAAUGUAAAUAUUCCGUUUUCUGUAUCCGACUCUUUAAGCUGUGGAGUGGAACAGCGUGGUGAUUCUUAUAUGAAAAAACAUAUAUUGCAUCUAAACAAUGGAAAUAUUUUAUUGAAUUAAUUUUUCUUUCUAAAUAAAUGUCAAAGAAUGCAAUGGCAUCCCUGAGUGAAAGCAUGAGGUGAUGAGUUGUAGCCUACACCCUGGCCGUGGCUCGUCCUCCAUUUUUCUUAGAGGUCCUGUUUACUCAAAACUUUUCAGUCCAUGCCCACCGGUGUACCCGUACCAUCAGUUUCUUCGAAUAGUUAGUUUCUGGAUUACAAAUUAUACAUUCCAAUUUUAUUAAUUUAAUAUAUUUAUUCAAAACAUAUGCUCAAAUGGAAAAUUUUAAAAGGAAAAAUCAGUUAAUUCAUUAAAAACUACUGGUAAAUUAACUACUGGUAAAUUCUUCCCAUCAAUUACUCAAACGGGACUUUACAUUGUAUGGUCGGGUCCACAAACCUGAAUCUAUACAAAUAAUUUGAGAACCGGACAUUGCGGUCGGGAACCGGACGUCUGGUAGCCCUAGCGUUAACGGUCUGUACUGGCACUUCACUUGAGGUGGAAAUUGUUGCAGAAUACGUCAAUUGCCGAAAACGCAAUUAGCCUCAGUAAAUAAGUCAAAUAUAGGCUACUUCAGUCAGCUCGUAUCAACUGUAUGCCAUGAAAUGUCAAAAUCUACAAUCUUCUUAUCUGUGAUCUAAUCUAACUAGAAUCUGAUCAUUCAUAUAGCCAAUCAUAGAUCUGUAUAAUUCAUGCUGCAGGCAUUGUGUAGACAACAGACACUGAAUUCUAUACCUGAAUUAUAUAGAAUAUAGCUGGUGUAAAAAAAGCCAUCACAAGGCAAUUGUGAUUGCAGAAGCUAUCCUCAUUAUGACAUAACAGAACCACUGAAAAUAAAUUGGCCUGGAGUAUUUAAAUUGUGCCAUUCCAGCUUGUUCAGCAUAGGUAUGGUAGUACCUUUUCGCAUGUGUAUUAAAAUCGAUAGCUCCGUCAUGAUGAACAGACAAGGGAUGAUCGUGGAACCUGAUACUUUUACAUCUUGCAAGCCCCAUGACUUUAGGGUGAAGGCGCUGGAGGAGAUCUGGAGGGAGGUCAAAGUUUGCAGGUCAAAGGCCAAGAGGCUGCUUUACUCUCUAACACAAGAGGUCUGAAGAAGUGUCAUCAAAAAGCCAUCAAGUGAGACCCAAACUGGUAGGGCCGGAGGUGGUGAAGCCGGUCACUAUUGUGAAAAGGGUUCUUCAAACCAAGACACAGAAGACCCAACUUCAGGAAGAGGCCGGCAAACUUGAAACACUGGUUCUACCUACACCUCAGCAAAGAAGCCCUCAAGUGAUUCUUCCUCAGUAGCCCCCAGUAGUCUUGCUGCACCUAAAAUCUCACCGGCCCAACAGGUCCCAUGAGGUAACACUAGCCAAAGUGUGAGAGACAUGGAGCCACAACUGACCGUGAACCUUUCAGUUUUGCUUCAGGUUUUCUGGUUGUAGACUUCCCUGUAACCAUGCGGUUCCAGUUCAGACCAAAGAUCUGUGAUGCGACAUUUCGAACGUUGCAGUGAGGAGUUGCAGCAGUGUGAACUACCCAUCUCCGAGUGUCUGACGUCCCUGCUUGCAGUCACAGGUGACUCAACGCAUCUAAUUGUAGGCGGCGAGUUUUAGAACGUUGCAGAAAACUUGGCUUUACAGCUGCAGCUCUCGCUAACUACCACUCCCUACCCUCGAUUUUUUCUUUGUCUUUUCGGUGAUAUCAGCAGAAAAACUGACAUUUACCUGCUCAUAAAUUACUUUAUUGGUUACCUGGACAACGGGGUAGAUGGAGCCUGACCCAACCAAGGACGUCUAUUCUGUGGGGGCUGCUGGGUGGCUCAUCGUGUUGAGGCGCUGUUGUAGCUCACGGAUGGGCCCCAUGAUCUGCUAUCUAUUAAGGCUCUGUUCUAGUGCUUGGAUUACAUUACAGUACAUUAGUUUUAUUUGGCAGAUGCUUUUCUCCAAAUCAUAGAUGAGCCCCAUGGUCUGGUAUCUGUUAAGGCACUGCUCUAGUGCAUGGAUGGGGCCACAUGGUCUGGUAUCUGGUAAGGCUCUGUUCUAGUGCACAUGCUAAUCAGUGUUAAAGGCCUAUUCCUACUGACCAACAUAAGCUUUUUUAAACAGGUUAAAAAAUGCAAAUUGGAAGUAAACUAAAUAACUAACUAAACAAGAAACAUAGCCUCAAGUAUGGACCUCACUAAUAGCCAAUUUUGAACAGAAUGGAUAUUAAAUUAAGUGUUCCACACCAAUACAGUUUAAACAUAAAAUUAGAUUAAUAAACAGCCUAAAAUAACUUACAAAUAGCAAAGAAAAGCAAUAUAUAUCCUUAAUAAAACAUGUGCCUUUAACAGAUAACAAUAGGCUAAUAUUCAAUAAAAACCUAAUGAAUUGACUCAAAGCAUAAAAAAAAUUACUUCUCUUCUAAUGCAGUCAGCUUGCUCCUAAAAACAAAAGUUUGGCUUGUGAGGUUAAAGCAAAGCUCAUCCAUCAGGCAGGAAAUGACAUCUUGACACAGAUAAGUGCCCUUUUCCACUUCUCUGUGGCUAAACUAACUGCAAGGCUGCUCUACAGCUGUAUACAAACACGCAGAACAUGAACGGGAUGGGAUAUCUUUCAGCCCCAGAGGCCCAGCGCCUGGAUUCACAUCCAUGAUGGAACUGUUCCACAGCGUUGGCAGGUGAGAAAUACAACCGUAUCAAACCAUCCUAUUUUAAGAAGAAUUAUUGUAUGUGACCAAACAAAGACAACAGUUGUAGUGUUCUCCUUCAACAUAAAAAUACUGUAACAGAAUACAGGUUAUGGGUGGAAAAGAGAACUUGAAGCAGAUAAUUGAAAAACUAAACACAGUAAGUUAUCUCAGUGGUACACUUGACUUGAUUUUUCCCCACAAGCUUUCUACCUGAAUCAUUGGUACUUAUUUUGUUAUGUUAACUAUAUUUUUAUUUUUUUAAAUAUGUUUUUCAGGCUUUUUCAGCUUUAUCGGACAGUUCAGUGUUGUUGGACAGGUCAGUACUCAGAGGUGGGAGAGUGAGAUCAUAGAAAACCACAGAAACCAGUGCACUAUUAAUAACAGGGUAUAGCCAUGUGCUGAAAACACUGGAUUUUUCUUUGUAAAUGAUUUUUUUUUAAAUUGAACAAUGUUGAGCUAUCUCCAGUGUUGAGCUGUCUAAAAUAAAGUGCUGGGUUGUGUCUUUUAAAACAGUGUUGGAGCUGUCUGUAAAAUCAAGUGCCGAGCCAUCUCGCCUCCAUACACAGACCUCAACGGGACGAUACACUGUGAAUUGCAAUCAUUUUAUUCACUUCUUCCAGAACAGACCUUGUCACAUUGCAGUAUACUGGUUCUCUUAAUGCUUUCAGUGAUGAGACAAAGUCACUAAAAUUCCACCAAAAGUCAUCGUUUCUUUUUUUCUUUUCUUUUUUUGUCGUUUUUUAAACUACAG